Molecule: long non-coding RNA, 3802 nt
Organism: Brassica rapa (field mustard)
Lineage: Eukaryota; Viridiplantae; Streptophyta; Magnoliopsida; Brassicales; Brassicaceae
Source: RefSeq, a predicted model, not a curated record
AAAAACACUUAUGUAUAUAUAAAAUUAUAUACAAUAUAUAUAGAUAUAUAUAUAUCUCUUUUAUUAAAAAAAAAUAAUGAUGUAAAAUAUUAUUUUUGGAUAACACAAUAUAAAUUAUUUUUAUAUAAUGAUAAUUACCAAAUAAAAAAUCAUUUUAAUUUACGAUAGUAUAUUAACAAAUCUAAUUAUUUAUUUAAGAUAUGAAGACUUUAGAACACAAUAUAAAUUAGUUUUAGACAAUGAUAAUUAUCUGUAUGGAUAGCCUAGCACGUAGUGUCAGGAAGCAGCCGUCUUUCGUCGUUCACAUGGAUAGACAUCUCCCAGUUUGGUUCACAGAGUCUGUAUAAGUCUGUUUAUGCUGAUGACAAAAAAAAAAAAAGACAAUGAUAAUUAUCAAAUCAAUAAAAUUUCAUUUUAAUUAAUUGUUAAUUAUAUACUAACAAAUUUAUUUAUUUAUUAAGGAUAAUAAAUCUUUUAGUUGCUUUAACUUUAAGUAUGAGAGUUCUGAGGAAAAAAUUACUUUACAAAUUAUAAUAUAGAUUAUUAAAAUAAAUAUAAAUUAAUUAUUUGAAUAAAGUUUAAUUGUACCAAACAAUCCGCGCGUAGCGCGGAUAAAAGAUCUAGUAUAACUAAAUAAAGCACUAACUCCUCUUACACUUCAAUGGGAAUUCCAAUAUCCCCUCUUUCAGUUUUACCCUAAAAACUCUUCUCAGGGAAAAUUAAAGCCGUCCCUCAUUUUUAAUAACUUUUCAUGAUUUCAAAGAAGACAUCACAUGUGGCUAAUCUUAUGUUCUAGAUGCGGCUUUUGGAGAUGGUGAUAAUGACAAUAAGAGCUCCGUAAUACGCCGGUUAAUUAAUCGGGAUCUUGUAAGACACAACAAUUUCUAUUGACAAGGGAACUAUGGAGAUAACAAGACAUGCUUUGAUAAAUCUCUACAAUUGUUUUCAUCUGCUUUUGGGAUCUCCUUUGUUUAGUUUGUUUUUUUUUUCUGCUAUGAAUUUAGUCUUUUUUGUCAAUAUUUAUGAUGAUUAAUAAAAUUGGAUUAUGUUGUAAGUUUCUAUGUAUCUCGAUUAUAUAUUUCUGAAAACUUUCAUAAUAAUAAAAAAUAGCUAAAAUGUUGUGAAACUCUAAACUAUUUUCACUAUUAGUGCUUAUUUAGCUAACAAGGAAGGCUAAGAAUAUAAGUGAGCUGUGACCAUACUUCAGUACAAAAUAAUUACAGUUUAUAGACGAGAAAGUAGUAGCUGUUUAGGACAAAAAUGUGACUGGAGUUUAGUAAUAACCAAUUGACGGAACUAAAAAUUUUAAUAGUCAAAUAAUUUGAUGGAUGUGAGUGUAACGGAUUGGUGAUGACCUUGUAGUCUCUAUUUGUGACAGUAUGUUACUGAACUUUCGUUGUAAUCAGCUACGGAACUGGGACAUUCUUAUCGUCACCAAAGUAGACCAUUUUUAGACGAUGUUUUCGUCAAUAAUUGUAACGGUAUUGUUACUUUAAUUUUCGUCACUGCUACUGACAAACUAGUUACAAAAUAAUUUUGUCACAAAUUAUGACGUUUUUUUGUUACGGUGAAAAUUUGUGACGUCCUUAUUGUAACUGUUCAUAACCUGUCACAAUUCUGUCACAAUAAUUAUAUUGCUACGAAAUUGUGUUCAUUGCGACCAAAAAAAUUGUCACAAUAUAAUUAUUUUCUUGUAGUGAGGCUUCUAUAGGAUUAUAAUCCCAAGUUUCCUGAAUAAAAACCCUUAGUCUAACUAUUUCAUUUUUAAGCACCAAAAUCUCAAUCAACCUAUUGAACAAAUACUUGUUCAAUAUAAAACUGCAAUUUACAUUUAAAAUCUCUGAAACCAUCUAGCUUAACAAAUCGUAUUAGAUUUCUUAGGUUCCCUAGCUCCUUGUGAAUUCGAUCCCUAAGUACUACAACUCGACCUCUUAAUUGAGAGAGUAUAAAUCACUCCUUAGGGUAAUUUGAGUGGUAUCAUGGAUUUGAUCCCUAAGUACUAUAACUGAACCUACAACUGAACCUCUUAUUUGAAAGAAUAAAAGUCACUCCUUAGGAUAAUUUGAGUGAUAUCAGUUUUCCUCAGGUUGGAUAUCGACUUCGUCGAUAUCAUCAUUCUGAGAAUUGAUUAAGUUUACGGCAAUUGGUGGUCUGUUGCUUGGGUGCUCUAUGAAUUCGACGGGAAUUACUCGCAUAAGGCCUGGAUUCGAACUUGAUGCCAAGACCGCUAAAGCAUCGGCCAGCGCAUUUUCCACGCGGGGGAUUCGCGUGGGAGCGAACUGAUCAAAGUCUUGGGUGAGAUCAUGGAAGAUUUUCAGGUACUUUUAUUUAUUAUUUAAGCAUAAAAGUUAUAUUUUGAAGUUUUUCUCUGUUUUAUACAUUUUAUUGUUUUUAAUAUGAAGGUUUUUCAGAUUUGAGUCAGAAUUUGAAUUUCAUUAGCAGACUUCUUGGAAGAUUUCUAGGAAGAAUUCGCGUGAAUUAAGCGAAAAAUUAAAAUUUAAGCGGAAACUUAAAUUUUUAGAAAUAUUUUACCGCAAAUUAGAAGACUUCUAAUUCACAGUCAAAUUUCAUUGAAAUUUUUUGUUCUCAUUCAUGGUUAGGAGACUGUUGUUUUGAUAGUUUAUAUAAUAUUGUAAAUAAUAUAUUCAUUUUGUCUCUAGUCUUUUAAAAAUUAUUUGUUUAAUGCUUAAUUAAUUCACUUAAGUUCUUGUAAUCAUAAAUUAUUCUUGAUCGUAAUUUUUUUGUUAUGAUUAUGGUUGUGCAAAUUAAAAGGGAGGCUUAUAAUAAUAUAACAGUUGAUUCAAUUUAAAACAUAACAAACAUAAAAAUACAUUCUUAACACAAUAAUAUAAGUUCUAAAACAUAACAAACAUAACAAUAAGUUCAGAACAUUGUAUAUGGAUAUAUGAUAUAAGACUUUGAAGUUACUUAAAUCUCAUGAAAGCUAAACAUCAUAUCUUAUGAUCUAAGAAGACAUAUUAAACCACAUUGUAGAUCCUACAAUCUACACUAAGAAUUCGAUAGUGAUCGAGAGUUUAAUCAGCAGAAGAUAAAUGAUGUAGGCAACAAUAUCUUUAGAACACAAAGAUAUAAUCAGUUUCCGGUAGGCAAAAAUGGACCUUAUUAAUGAAUAAGAUCGGAUACAAUGAGUGAAACAAGAUCGAAUGUUACAAUGAGACCGCUUAAGAGAAAAGAUCUAAAGAUGGAUGAAAACAAGGUCGAAGUGUGGGUGUAGCUCUCUCUAGAGUUUUCAAUGUGUCUCUUCCUUAUGCGUACACUUCUUCUUAUAACAUGCUCCUCUCGUGAUGUUUGCAACUGCUCCACGAUCUCAGCAGUCGUUCGGCGAUCUCUGGAUCUUCGAAGUCUCAGUUUGGAACUCGAGUGCUCGCUGUGGGCUUCAACUCUUUGCGGCCCAUUCAGUUGAUCGUGGCCCAUUUACACAUUGACCGAAAUUGGAUCCAACACACAUGACUUUCUUGAAGCUACUUAACAAUUUUGAAAGUUAAUAAAAAAAAUCUUGAAAUUACUUAAAACUCGUAAAAAUACAAGUUUUACAACUAACAGAAAAGUCUUCUUCCCCGCAAAUUUCUUAAGAAAUCUUCUCUCAUUAGCUAGAAACAUUAAUAAACAUGAAUGUUUGUAACCAAAUAAUUAUCACCAAUUAAGUUAUAAAUCUCAUUGAGUAUCCCUAAUUGACUAAUACACGUGAAAUAACAAGAAAAUCUUAAAAAUUCAUUUUAAAUUAUGAGAAAUGAAAAUUUAAUAAACAUUGGCGUAAAAGACUUCCACAGAAGUAUCCCAA